AUUCGCCCUUUUCCGGUUGAUCCUGCCGGACCCGACUGCUAUCGGAUUGAGAUUUAGCCAUGCGAGUUGAACGUCCCUUGAUUGCAGGGGGCGUAGCAUACGGCUCAGUAACACGUAGUCAACCUGCCCUGGAGACGCGGAUAACCCCGGGAAACUGGGACCAAUCCGUGAUAGGUCGCCCCAUCUGGAAGGAGGGGCGGCCCAAAGGGGAAUUGUGGGCUUCCACUUUUCUCGCUCUAGGAUGGGACUGCGGCCGAUCAGGCUGUUGGCGGGGUAAUGGCCCACCAAACCUGUAACCGGUACGGGCCUUGAGAGAGGUGGCCCGGAGAUGGACACUGAGACAAGGGUCCAGGUCCUACGGGGCGCAGCAGGCGCGAAACCUUCGCAAUGUGCGAAAGCAUGACGAGGUUAAUCCGAGUGGCUUCCGCUGAGGAAGUCUUUUGCCGACUGUAAAAAGGUCGGAGAAUAAGGGGAGGGCAAGUCUGGUGUCAGCCGCCGCGGUAAUACCAGCUCCUCGAGUGGUCGGGGCGAUUAUUGGGCCUAAAGCAUCCGUAGCCGGUUCCGUAGGUCUCCUGCAAAAUCCAGUCGCUCAACGAUUGGCCCGCAGGAGAUACCGCGGGACUAGGAGGCGGGAGAGGUGGACGGUACUCCACGUGUAGGGGUAAAAUCCUUUGAUCCGUGGAAGACCACCAGUGGCGAAGGCGGUCCACCAGAACGCGCUCGACGGUGAGGGAUGAAAGCUGGGGGAGCGAACCGGAUUAGAUACCCGGGUAGUCCCAGCCGUAAACGAUGCUAGCUAGAUGAUCCGAUCGUAAAUCAUGAUCGGAGUGUCGCAGGGAAGCCGUUAAGCUAGCCGCCUGGGGAGUACGGUCGCAAGACUGAAACUUAAAGGAAUUGGCGGGGGAGCACCACAAGGGGUGAAGCCUGCGGUUCAAUUGGAGUCAACGCCAGGAAACUUACCAGGAGAGACAGCAGAUUGAGGGUCAGACUGAAGAUCUUACCUGACGAGCUGAGAGGAGGUGCAUGGCCGUCGCCAGCUCGUGCCGUGAGGCGUCCUGUUAAGUCAGGCAACGAGCGAGACCCAAAGGGCGA
Molecule: ribosomal RNA, 1092 nt
Filed under: uncultured Nitrososphaerota archaeon
Lineage: Archaea; Thermoproteati; Nitrososphaerota
Description: bacterial SSU rRNA
Rfam family: Archaeal small subunit ribosomal RNA
Source: RNAcentral